Molecule: ribosomal RNA, 576 nt
Filed under: Pseudorasbora parva (stone moroko)
Lineage: Eukaryota; Metazoa; Chordata; Actinopteri; Cypriniformes; Gobionidae
Description: partial large subunit ribosomal RNA
Rfam family: Bacterial large subunit ribosomal RNA
Source: RNAcentral
UAACGGCCGCGGUAUUUUGACCGUGCAAAGGUAGCGCAAUCACUUGUCUUUUAAAUAGAGACCUGUAUGAAUGGCCUAACGAGGGCUUAACUGUCUCCCCCUUCCAGUCAGUGAAAUUGAUCUAUCCGUGCAGAAGCGGGUAUAAAUAUACAAGACGAGAAGACCCUUUGGAGCUUAAGGUACAAAGUUUAACCAUGUUAAACAACUUAUUAAAGGGCAAAAACUUAAUGGAAAAUAAACAUUUACCUUCGGUUGGGGCGACCGCGGAGGAAAAAUCAGCCUCCGAGUGGAACGGGCUAAAUCCCUAAAACCAAGAGAGACAUCUCUAAGCCGCAGAAAAUCUGACCAAAAAUGAUCCGACACAUAGUCGAUCAACGAACCAAGUUACCCUAGGGAUAACAGCGCAAUCCUCUCCCAGAGUCCAUAUCGACGAGGGGGUUUACGACCUCGAUGUUGGAUCAGGACAUCCUAAUGGUGCAGCCGCUAUUAAGGGUUCGUUUGUUCAACGAUUAAAGUCCUACGUGAUCUGAGUUCAGACCGGAGUAAUCCAGGUCAGUUUCUAUCUGUAAUGCUACU